RNAcentral lists this ribosomal RNA (222 nucleotides) under uncultured bacterium. Its description in RNAcentral is "partial 16S ribosomal RNA". It matches the Rfam family "Bacterial small subunit ribosomal RNA", at positions 109 to 334 of the family's 1533-position model. The record is from RNAcentral.
AGUAAUGUCUGGGAGACUGCCUGAUGGAGGGGGAUAACUACUGGAAACGGUAGCUAAUACCGCAUAACGUCGCAAGACCAAAGAGGGGGACCUUCGGGCCUCUUGCCAUCGGAUGUGCCCAGAUGGGAUUAGCUAGUAGGUGGGGUAACGGCUCACCUAGGCGACGAUCCCUAGCUGGUCUGAGAGGAUGAUCAGCCACACUGGAACUGAGACACGGUCCAG